This 253-nucleotide ribosomal RNA is filed under the name uncultured bacterium. RNAcentral describes it as "partial 16S ribosomal RNA". It matches the Rfam family "Bacterial small subunit ribosomal RNA", at positions 524 to 776 of the family's 1533-position model. The record is from RNAcentral.
UACGUAGGGGGCAAGCGUUGUCCGGAAUCAUUGGGCGUAAAGCGCGUGUAGGCGGCUCGGUAAGUCUGCUGUGAAAGUCCAGGGCUCAACCCUGGGAUGCCGGUGGAUACUGUCGAGCUCGAGUCCGGAAGAGGCGAGUGGAAUUCCCGGUGUAGCGGUGAAAUGCGCAGAUAUCGGGAGGAACACCAAUGGCGAAGGCAGCUCGCUGGGACGUGACUGACGCUGAGACGCGAAAGCGUGGGGAUCAAAAGGG